GACGAACGCUGGCGGCGUGCUUAACACAUGCAAGUCGAACGUGAUUUUUGUAGAAAUUCUUUCGGGAAUGGAAAUGAAAUGAAAGUGGCGAACGGGUGAGUAACACGUGAGCAACCUACCUUACACAGGGGGAUAGCCGUUGGAAACGACGAUUAAUACCGCAUGAGACCACAGAAUCGCAUGAUAUAGGGGUCAAAGAUUUAUCGGUGUAAGAAGGGCUCGCGUCUGAUUAGCUAGUUGGAAGGGUAAAGGCCUACCAAGGCGACGAUCAGUAGCCGGUCUGAGAGGAUGAACGGCCACAUUGGAACUGAGACACGGUCCAAACUCCUACGGGAGGCAGCAGUGGGGAAUAUUGCACAAUGGGGGGAACCCUGAUGCAGCGACGCCGCGUGAGCGAAGAAGGUUUUCGAGUCGUAAAGCUCUGUCCUAUGAGAAGAUAAUGACGGUAUCAUAGGAGGAAGCCCCGGCUAAAUACGUGCCAGCAGCCGCGGUAAUACGUAUGGGGCGAGCGUUGUCCGGAAUUAUUGGGCGUAAAGGGUACGUAGGCGGUUUUUUAAGUCAGGUGUGAAAGCGUGAGGCUUAACCUCAUUAAGCACUUGAAACUGGAAGACUUGAGUGAAGGAGAGGAAAGUGGAAUUCCUAGUGUAGCGGUGAAAUGCGUAGAUAUUAGGAGGAAUACCGGUGGCGAAGGCGACUUUCUGGACUUUUACUGACGCUCAGGUACGAAAGCGUGGGGAGCAAACAGG
RNAcentral lists this ribosomal RNA (746 nucleotides) under uncultured Parvimonas sp. Its description in RNAcentral is "bacterial SSU rRNA". It matches the Rfam family "Bacterial small subunit ribosomal RNA", at positions 28 to 776 of the family's 1533-position model. Lineage: Bacteria; Bacillati; Bacillota; Tissierellia; Tissierellales; Peptoniphilaceae. The record is from RNAcentral.